RNAcentral lists this transfer RNA (65 nucleotides) under Brillia brevicornis. Its description in RNAcentral is "tRNA-Arg". The record is from RNAcentral. Lineage: Eukaryota; Metazoa; Arthropoda; Insecta; Diptera; Chironomidae.
AAAAUAUGAAGCAAAUUAUGCAAUUAGUUUCGACCUAAUCUAUGGUAUUUAUUUACCCUUAUUUA